This 316-nucleotide long non-coding RNA is filed under the name Setaria viridis. RNAcentral's name for it is "long non-coding RNA (SVIR_LNC010138)". The record is from RNAcentral. Lineage: Eukaryota; Viridiplantae; Streptophyta; Magnoliopsida; Poales; Poaceae.
CUUGCUAAACCCGACCAGAUGAUUGCCACACUAAUCUAAUCGCGAGUGAGAUCUCAGGCCUAGCACACUCUAUUUGUCAUGCAGGGCAAGGUCUCCAUCAUGGGCAGCAUGGAUGCAUCGAGCCGCACCGCACUUUCCAUUCCUGCAAUCUCACUUGAUUGUCGAGCGCGCGCGCACCGGGCGAUCCAUCGAUCGGUGUCGAAGAGGCGGCGAUGAUGACGUCCCCCUUGUACGCGUGCCGCGUGCGGUGCCGUAUCAUACACUUCACCGUAUGGUUUAGGUUUACGCCCCCCCCCCCCCCCCCCCCCCCCCCCCC